Small nucleolar RNA from Mastomys coucha (southern multimammate mouse), 132 nucleotides. RefSeq annotates it as small nucleolar RNA SNORA17. The record is from RefSeq and is a predicted model, not a curated record. The transcript has a single exon. Lineage: Eukaryota; Metazoa; Chordata; Mammalia; Rodentia; Muridae.
ACUACCUGUAGAAGCAUUACAAGUGUGGUUGCUGUGUCGCAUGUGCGUCAGCAGGUGGCAGAGUGGAGCAGAACUACGUCUAUGCUCAGUGUUCUGACCUAUGAACAGCCGAAUGAUUAGUAGACUGACGAC